UACGUAGGGGGCGAGCGUUAUCCGGAAUCACUGGGCGUAAAGGGUGCGUAGGCGGCCGAUAAAGUCAGGGGUGAAAGGCUACGGCUUAACCGUAGUAAGCCUUUGAAACUUAUUGGCUUGAGUGCAGGAGAGGAGAGUGGAAUUCCUAGUGUAGCGGUGAAAUGCGUAGAUAUUAGGAGGAACACCAGUGGCGAAGGCGACUCUCUGGACUGUAACUGACGCUGAGGCACGAAAGCGCGGGGAGCGAACAGG
RNAcentral lists this ribosomal RNA (252 nucleotides) under uncultured bacterium. Its description in RNAcentral is "partial 16S ribosomal RNA". It matches the Rfam family "Bacterial small subunit ribosomal RNA", at positions 524 to 776 of the family's 1533-position model. The record is from RNAcentral.